AUUGAACGCUGGCGGCAUGCUUUACACAUGCAAGUCGAACGGUAACAGGCCGCAAGGUGCUGACGAGUGGCGAACGGGUGAGUAAUGCAUCGGAACGUGCCCAGUCGUGGGGGAUAACGCAGCGAAAGCUGCGCUAAUACCGCAUACGAUCUAUGGAUGAAAGCGGGGGACCGUAAGGCCUCGCGCGAUUGGAGCGGCCGAUGUCAGAUUAGGUAGUUGGUGGGGUAAAGGCUCACCAAGCCGACGAUCUGUAGCUGGUCUGAGGGGACGACCAGCCACACUGGGACUGAGACACGGCCCAGACUCCUACGGGAGGCAGCAGUGGGGAAUUUUGGACAAUGGGCGCAAGCCUGAUCCAGCAAUGCCGCGUGCAGGAAGAAGGCCUCGGUUGUAAACUGCUUUUGUAGGACGAAACGGCGUCUGGUUAAUAACCUGGGGCUAAUGACGGUACCGUAAGAAUAAGCACCGGCUAACUACGUGCCAGCAGCC
This 489-nucleotide ribosomal RNA is filed under the name uncultured bacterium. RNAcentral's name for it is "bacterial SSU rRNA". It matches the Rfam family "Bacterial small subunit ribosomal RNA", at positions 29 to 516 of the family's 1533-position model. The record is from RNAcentral.